RNAcentral lists this ribosomal RNA (431 nucleotides) under uncultured eukaryote. Its description in RNAcentral is "bacterial SSU rRNA". It matches the Rfam family "Eukaryotic small subunit ribosomal RNA", at positions 1212 to 1655 of the family's 1831-position model. The record is from RNAcentral.
AACUCACCAGGUCAGGACACGGUAAGGAUUGACGGACUGAAGGCUCUUUCUCGAUUCCGUGGAAAGUGGUGCAUGGCCGUUUUGGUUGGUGGAUCGAUCCGUCUGGUUAAUUCCGUUAACGAACGAGACCUCGGCACUCCGAAUAGCGCGGCGGACGUCGCGGCCUCCGGGCCGUCUUCCGCACGAGCUUCUUAGAGGGACCGUCCCCCGCCGGGGAAGGAGGUGCGAGGCAACGACAGGUCUGUGAUGCCCUUAGAUGUUCUGGGCCGCACGCGCAUUACACUGACGCGUCCAACGGGUGACUCCCGACCCGAAGGGGCCGGGGAAUCCGCAAGGCGCGUCGUGAUGGGGAUUGAACGUUGCAAUUGUUGUUCACGAACGAGGAAUUCCUAGUAGGCGCGGGUCAUCAACCCGCGCCGAUUACGUCCCUG